UGAUUUUUUCAUAUGUUGGAACCAAAAAUCAAAUCCUAAGUUAUAUGACAUCUAAAGAUUAUCUUCCAUAUAUCAUUCUAGUGAUAAGAUCAAAAGCAACUGGAUUUUGGAGCGAUCGUGAUGCAAGUUCGAAACCGAUAGUGUUCUUCAGAAGACAAGGCUGUGGCAGCACACCGAUUGGGAAAGACCUUGGCCAACUUUCAUGUGGAUCACCAUUGGAAGACUUCUAUCUUGGGGUCUUGUGGAGAACACCAAUAUGUCACUUUUCUAUUUUGGUGAAAGUAUAAAAUUCUAUCUUUGUUGCAUGCUUGAUUUUGUUUUAUCGAUAUCAGCAAGGUGAUUCUAGGGUUUGGAUUCUGGCUCGAUA
This 367-nucleotide long non-coding RNA is filed under the name Elaeis guineensis (African oil palm). RNAcentral describes it as "long non-coding RNA (EGUI_LNC057654)". The record is from RNAcentral. Lineage: Eukaryota; Viridiplantae; Streptophyta; Magnoliopsida; Arecales; Arecaceae.